RNAcentral lists this long non-coding RNA (1558 nucleotides) under Lotus japonicus. RNAcentral describes it as "long non-coding RNA (LJAP_LNC001668)". Lineage: Eukaryota; Viridiplantae; Streptophyta; Magnoliopsida; Fabales; Fabaceae. The record is from RNAcentral.
UUGAGAAAGGUUCAUCAUCACUGUGGUUCCUAUUGUGUGUGGCAGAGUUUUUGUUUUCUUGCCACCAACCACCUCUUAACAGAUUUAAUAAGAACCUUGGUAAGUGUUGAAUUUAAUGCAGACCGGUGGGUUUUGGUUUGUUUGGUACCACCACCAUGUCUUUUUUUCAACUAUCCUCAUGCCUGUCCAUGUAGGGAUACAGAGCAUUUAUUUGUCUCAACUCUCAACUAGCAAGCAAAUGCAAUUUAUUCCAUCAAUACUGGCUUUGCUCUUGUUGACCUCUGAUGGUUUCUUAGCCUUGGGGCUAUGUCUUUAUGUACAGUGCUCCUAAUAAAGUGGUUCUGUUACUGUUAUACAAAAGCUACAGGUACUAGAUAAGCUUUUAUAAAUUACUUCCAAAAAAACAAUGAAGUUUCACACUUUAGUGGAUGCUGUCACUAGUAUCAAGUAAUCUCUUGCACAUGGUAUUUGAAAUUAUCAUGUUAGUAGAUGAAUUUUGUUUGUUAAAUAAUGUUCAUAGACAUCUAGACUAGUUUUUAAAUUGUUUAACAGCUAGGAGAAAAUCUCACAGUGUAGAGAGGGAAGAAAGCUUUUGAAAUUAAAGUGGACAUUCAAUCCUCCCGGAAAUUAACUGUUUCUGAUCAUUGAUCAAGGUUAUCAAGGUUAAUAUUCAAAGCUACUCCACCUGCUAAAGGAUGAGGUCAAUCUAUAAAAGACGUCAUAUUAGAAAGAGCAUAGCUGUCAAUAUCUUUUUUCUAGGCUGUUAAUAACUUCUAUUUAUGCUUCCAUUGAGGCUUUCCACAAACCUGAUCAACAAAACUGAUCAAACACCAUAAAUAUAUAAAGUUAAAACAUGAUUGUUUUCUUCUACUACAUUAUUUUCUUUACAAAUAGCAAGCAUGCUAUUUGUAAAAUCUGAUAGUUAAUGAUAGUGAAAUUUAUAUUAUAUGGAGAAGAAAAUUGAUAAGAGAGUGAAUGAGCUGCCAGAUAGACAAGCAACUGCAGUUGAGUUAGAGGAUAAAGUGAGAUCUCAUACUGAUUUAUUGACUGCCAAAGACUAAGUUGUGUAUUGUGUGAUUCUUUGUGUCUUUAAAGAAGUAGUAAUAUAUCUUUUAUAAAACUCACAAUGUUUUGGAAACUUAAAGGUGUAUUGCAGAAAUUGAAGACAUGAUGCAUGCACUUGAUGAGGAAGAGAUGCAAAUGGAAGAACAUACAAAGAGGAUUGUAUGAUAAUUUGUACAUCGCUUGACGAUCCUCUUAAAAUUCUUUGAAUGAAGUGGAAAAGGUUGUUCAGCAAAAGAAUUUGUACAUCGCUUGUAGAUCUUAAUUGUUCUUAAGGUGUCUUUGUAUGAUAAUUGGCAAGUGAAUUCAAUCAUAUGCCUUUUGGCAAUGCCAUGACUUUCAUCUGUGUCUGGAUAUUUUUGGUUUGAUUCAUCUUGCUGACUCAUUCAGUAUUUGAUUCUUAGCAGAUUAGCUUUCACGAGUUUAAAAGUAAGUUGUUGGAUCUUGAGUGAAGUAUGUUCAAGUGCAAUGAUGGUAACAUAAAAAUAAAAAUGAG